Molecule: ribosomal RNA, 300 nt
Filed under: uncultured Bacillus sp.
Lineage: Bacteria; Bacillati; Bacillota; Bacilli; Caryophanales; Bacillaceae
Description: bacterial SSU rRNA
Rfam family: Bacterial small subunit ribosomal RNA (bases 52-300)
Source: RNAcentral
GCGGAGUGAGGGGAAGGAGCGGCGGGAAGAGGUAGGGGGAGAACGUGGGGCGGAAUGAUUGGGCGUAAGGCGCGCGGAGGCGGUAGUGUAAGUCGGAGGGGAAAGCCCACGGGUGAACCGGUGAGGGUCAUUUGAAACGGGGGGACUUGAGGGCAGAAGAGGAAAGCGGAAGUCCACGUGUAGCGGUGAAAUGCGUAGAGAUGUGGAGGAACACCAGUGGCGAAGGCGGCUUUCUGGUCUGUAACUGACGCUGAGGCGCGAAAGCGUGGGGAGCAAACAGGAUUAGAUACCCGUGUAGUC